ACACGCACACACACACACACACACACACAUGACACCAACCCCAUUAGACCCUAAUUACACACACACAGUAAAUGGACCUUAUAUUAAAUAAAGUUGUGGUACAAUCAGGAUUUAGGUGUUUUGAAUAAGUCACUCUUGUCCUAGACCUUAAGGAGCAGAAGAAUAUCUAUGAAUAGAAGGAUCAUUAUUAUUUUGUUUACACAUGAACUAGAUUUCAUGAUAAAGUCAUAGCAAGUAAACACAUACUAUUUUUCUAUUUUUCCUAUAAAAAAGUUUUUUUCUGGAGUGGUGAGGCAGGUGGUUACUGAAUUAUCCUUCAUAUGUAUAGCCUUGAAAAGAAAAAGAAAAAUUACAACAGUUUCAAUAAAAUUAUAAUACUUUUCAUAUAUUUUGCUAAUGAGAAACUUUACAAUGUCUUGGACUCUGGGACAUGGUUACAGAAUGCUUGAACAGAAGGCCGAGGUCUGUAUUAGUGGACUACUGGGUCAGAGAGGGCACUUUGAAAACUUCUCUCCAUUUGCCACCUACUCUCCGUCUUCAGCCAUUGAGAUUCCAGUCCUGCCUCUCGGCUCCGACCCGGUGUGGUUGCCAUGACAACCAGCAAAUUGGUUAGCGGGGUGAGUAAUGAUGUGAUGUGGUGGAGCUGGAAGCGCCCAACAAAGGACUUAUUACAGGCAGCCUACCAACACUUCCUGUCCAACACUUCCUGUCCAACACUUCCUGCCCUCAUGGGCAAGCACAGAUAGAGAGCAAGAGGAGGAAGAGAGAGGAGGAGAGAGGGGAAGAGAGAGAAAAGAAAGCGAGGGAAGAAGAGAAGAGAGCGAAAGAGUAAGAGAGAAAGAGGGAGGAAGAGAGAAAAGGAGAAAAGGUGGGGGCGAGACGAGGCCCCUCUGCUACUCCUCACCGCACUUCUUCACGCUCUCAUCAUCUUAUCACUGUUAACCUGGUUCCCUUUCACAGAGCCUCGCUGCAGGGGGCCGAUGGUAAUCCGUGCUGCAAACGUCCAAGCCACUCGUGAGAGAGGGAGCGGGACCCUGUGGGAAUGGUACUGAGGGACGUGCCUGUUAUCGUCUUCUUGCACCUGGGCCGGGUCAGUUCACCAGCGUGGUCAGAGCAGUCAGCCCGCAGCGUCUGGCCGGGCUCAACCGAAGGGAGGCCCUGCACCCACCCUCGUCAUCAUGGGAACCGGUGCAUCAGGAGGAAUUUGCAUGUGUGGCUCAGGCUUUGUCUCCCGGUUCACGGGGUGGAAUUGGCAGCGCUUUGAAACCUGUGGAAGCGAGGCAGGUUUUUAGGCUCCCAGAAGCAGAUGAAGUGUGAGAAGUCUCCUCGUGGCAGGACACCUGUUCUGUCCCGGGCGCUGGUCGAUCUCGCUGGCUACUGUCUUGCCUUUCUGAAGAGGAUCCAGCUGUCGAUAUACGGACCACCGCUUCCAUUCACUGGACCUUGCCAAUCCAGCCAUUUCAUGAUUCAUGUCCUGUGUCUGAAUUCAAUGAAAUAAGGGCUGCUCAUGAGUUAAGAAGCAGAGAAGGGAGGCUGCACCACUUGGGACACGUUGUGAACAUGGGUUUGGUUUGGAAGAGGGAGCUGGAAUCCUGAGAAAUCCCACAAUCAGGAGUGCAAACGUGUAUGAUCAGCUCAGUCGCUCACAGGCAUGUGUAUGAUCAGUAGUUCAGUAGUGUACAGACGUGUGUAUGAUCAGUAGUUCAAUACUACAAAGACAAGCGCAUGAUCAGUAGUUCGGUAGUGUACAGACAUGCGUAUGAUCAGUAGUUCAGUAGUGUACAGACGUGUGUAUGAUCAGUAGUUCAAUACUACAAAGACAUGCGUAUGAUCAGUAGUUCAGUAGUGUACAGACGUGUGUAUGAUCAGUAGUUCAAUACUACAAAGACAUGCGCAUGAUCAGUA
Electrophorus electricus (electric eel) is the source of this 1905-nucleotide non-coding RNA. The record is from RefSeq and is a predicted model, not a curated record. Lineage: Eukaryota; Metazoa; Chordata; Actinopteri; Gymnotiformes; Gymnotidae.